RNAcentral lists this ribosomal RNA (1471 nucleotides) under metagenome. Its description in RNAcentral is "bacterial SSU rRNA". It matches the Rfam family "Bacterial small subunit ribosomal RNA". The record is from RNAcentral.
GCAAGUCGCACGAGAACGCUUCAGCUUGCUGAAGUUAGUAAAGUGGCGCACGGGUGAGUAACGCGUGGGUAAUCUACCCCUUGAAUUGGGGAUAACCCGCCGAAAGGCGGGCUAAUACCGAAUGACAUCUUGAAAACUUAUGUUUUCAAGAUCAAAGGUGGCCUCUACAUGUAAGCUAUUGUUUGGGGAUGAGCCCGCGUACCAUUAGCUUGUUGGUAGGGUAAUGGCCUACCAAGGCUACGAUGGUUAGCUGGUCUGAGAGGAUGAUCAGCCACACUGGAACUGACACACGGUCCAGACUCCUACGGGAGGCAGCAGUGAGGAAUUUUGCGCAAUGGGGGAAACCCUGACGCAGCAACGCCGCGUGAGUGAUGAAGGCUUUCGGGUCGUAAAGCUCUGUCAAGUGGGAAGAAAUCAUAUGGUGUUAAUACUGCCAUAUAUUGACGGUACCACUGAAGGAAGCACCGGCUAACUCCGUGCCAGCAGCCGCGGUAAUACGGGGGGUGCGAGCGUUAUUCGGAAUUACUGGGCGUAAAGAGCGCGUAGGCGGUCUUUUAAGUCAGGUGUGAAAGCCCGGGGCUCAACCCCGGAAGUGCACUUGAAACUAAGAGACUUGAGUAUGGGAGAGGGAAGUGGAAUUCCUGGUGUAGCGGUGAAAUGCGUAGAUAUCAGGAGGAACAUCGGUGGCGAAGGCGACUUCCUGGACCAAUACUGACGCUGAGGCGCGAAGGCGUGGGGAGCAAACAGGAUUAGAUACCCUGGUAGUCCACGCCGUAAACGAUGGGUACUAGGCGUCGGGGGGAGCGACCCCUUCGGUGCCGUCGCUAACGCAGUAAGUACCCCGCCUGGGGAGUACGGCCGCAAGGCUGAAACUCAAAGGAAUUGACGGGGGCCCGCACAAGCGGUGGAGCAUGUGGUUUAAUUCGAUGCAACGCGAAGAACCUUACCUGGGCCUGACAUGUACGUGAAAUCUGGUGGAAACACCGGCCCCUCUUCGGAGCACGUACACAGGUGCUGCAUGGCUGUCGUCAGCUCGUGUCGUGAGAUGUUGGGUUAAGUCCCGCAACGAGCGCAACCCUCGCUACCAGUUGCCAGCGGUUCGGCCGGGGACUCUGGGGGGACUGCCGGUGUCAAAUCGGAGGAAGGUGGGGACACGUCAAGUCAUCAUGGCCCUUACGUCCAGGGCGACACACGUGCUACAAUGGCCGGUACAGCGCGCUGCGAACCUGCGAGGGUAAGCGAAUCGCUGAAAGCCGGUCUCAGUUCGGAUUGCAGUCUGUAACUCGACUGCAUGAAGCCGGAAUCGCUAGUAAUCGCGGAUCAGCCAUGCCGCGGUGAAUACGUUCCCGGGCCUUGUACACACCGCCCGUCAAGCGAUGGAAGCUGGGGGUACCCGAAGCCGGUGGCCUAACCUUCGGGAGGGAGCCGUCUAAGGUAAACUCAGUGACUGGCGCUAAGUCGUAACAAGGUA